RNAcentral lists this ribosomal RNA (503 nucleotides) under Pseudomonas anguilliseptica. Its description in RNAcentral is "bacterial SSU rRNA". It matches the Rfam family "Bacterial small subunit ribosomal RNA", at positions 1 to 506 of the family's 1533-position model. Lineage: Bacteria; Pseudomonadati; Pseudomonadota; Gammaproteobacteria; Pseudomonadales; Pseudomonadaceae. The record is from RNAcentral.
CUGAGUUUGAUCCUGGCUCAGAUUGAACGCUGGCGGCAGGCCUAACACAUGCAAGUCGAGCGGUAGAGAGAAGCUUGCUUCUCUUGAGAGCGGCGGACGGGUGAGUAAUGCCUAGGAAUCUGCCUAGUGGUGGGGGAUAACGUUCGGAAACGGACGCUAAUACCGCAUACGUCCUACGGGAGAAAGCGGGGGAUCUUCGGACCUCGCGCCAUUAGAUGAGCCUAGGUCGGAUUAGCUAGUUGGUGAGGUAAUGGCUCACCAAGGCGACGAUCCGUAACUGGUCUGAGAGGAUGAUCAGUCACACUGGAACUGAGACACGGUCCAGACUCCUACGGGAGGCAGCAGUGGGGAAUAUUGGACAAUGGGCGAAAGCCUGAUCCAGCCAUGCCGCGUGUGUGAAGAAGGUCUUCGGAUUGUAAAGCACUUUAAGUUGGGAGGAAGGGCAGUAACCUAAUACGUUAUUGUUUUGACGUUACCGACAGAAUAAGCACCGGCAACUCGGC